UACGAGAGGCCCAAACGUUAUUCGGAUUUACUGGGCUUAAAGAGUUCGUAGGCGGUGCAGAAAGUGGGGUGUGAAAGCCCUCGGCUCAACCGAGGAAUUGCGCUCCAAACUACUGUACUCGAGGAAGCUAGAGGUGAGCAGAACAGAUGGUGGAGCGGUGAAAUGCGUAGAUAUCGCUUGGAACGCCGAAGGUGAAAACAGGUUGCUGGGGAUGUGCCGACGCUGAGACACGAAAGCCAGGGGAGCAAACGGG
This 253-nucleotide ribosomal RNA is filed under the name uncultured bacterium. RNAcentral describes it as "partial 16S ribosomal RNA". It matches the Rfam family "Bacterial small subunit ribosomal RNA", at positions 524 to 776 of the family's 1533-position model. The record is from RNAcentral.